CGAGCGGCGAACGGGUGAGUAACACGUGGGUGAUCUGCCUUGCACUUCGGGAUAAGCCUGGGAAACUGGGUCUAAUACCGGAUAUGACCACGAACUGCAUGGUUUGUGGUGGAAAGAUUUAUCGGUGCGAGAUGGGCCCGCGGCCUAUCAGCUUGUUGGUGAGGUAACGGCCCACCAAGGCGACGACGGGUAGCCGACCUGAGAGGGUGACCGGCCACACUGGGACUGAGACACGGCCCAGACUCCUACGGGAGGCAGCAGUGGGGAAUAUUGCACAAUGGGCGAAAGCCUGAUGCAGCGACGCCGCGUGCGGGAUGACGGCCUUCGGGUUGUAAACCGCUUUUGACAGGGACGAAGCGCAAGUGACUGUACCUGUAGAAUAAGGACCGGCCAACUACGUGCCAGCAGCCGCGGUAAUACGUAGGGUCCGAGCGUUGUCCGGAAUUACUGGGCGUAAAGAGCUUGUAGGCGGUUCGUCGCGUCGUUUGUGAAAACUUGGGGCUCAACCUUAAGCUUGCAGGCGAUACGGGCGGACUAGAGUACUUCAGGGGAGACUGGAAUUCCUGGUGUAGCGGUGAAAUGCGCAGAUAUCAGGAGGAACACCGGUGGCGAAGGCGGGUCUCUGGGAAGUAACUGACGCUGAGAAGCGAAAGCAUGGGUAGCAAACAGGAUUAGAUACCCUGGUAGUCCAUGCCGUAAACGGUGGGUACUAGGUGUGGGGCUCCUUCCACGGACUCCGUGCCGUAGCUAACGCAUUAAGUACCCCGCCUGGGGAGUACGGCCGCAAGGCUAAAACUCAAAGAAAUUGACGGGGGCCCGCACAAGCGGCGGAGCAUGUGGAUUAAUUCGAUGCAACGCGAAGAACCUUACCUGGGUUUGACAUACACCGGAAACCUGCAGAGAUGUAGGCCCCCUUGUGGUCGGUGUACAGGUGGUGCAUGGCUGUCGUCAGCUCGUGUCGUGAGAUGUUGGGUUAAGUCCCGCAACGAGCGCAACCCUUAUCUUAUGUUGCCAGCGCGUAAUGGCGGGGACUCGUGAGAGACUGCCGGGGUCAACUCGGAGGAAGGUGGGGACGACGUCAAGUCAUCAUGCCCCUUAUGUCCAGGGCUUCACACAUGCUACAAUGGCCGGUACAGAGGGCUGCGAUACCGCGAGGUGGAGCGAAUCCCUUAAAGCCGGUCUCAGUUCGGAUCGGGGUCUGCAACUCGACCCCGUGAAGUUGGAGUCGCUAGUAAUCGCAGAUCAGCAACGCUGCGGUGAAUACGUUCCCGGGCCUUGUACACACCGCCCGUCACGUCAUGAAAGUCGGUAACACCCGA
Molecule: ribosomal RNA, 1319 nt
Filed under: Nocardia sp.
Lineage: Bacteria; Bacillati; Actinomycetota; Actinomycetes; Mycobacteriales; Nocardiaceae
Description: bacterial SSU rRNA
Rfam family: Bacterial small subunit ribosomal RNA
Source: RNAcentral